Molecule: long non-coding RNA, 574 nt
Filed under: Physcomitrium patens
Lineage: Eukaryota; Viridiplantae; Streptophyta; Bryopsida; Funariales; Funariaceae
Description: long non-coding RNA (PPAT_LNC010595)
Source: RNAcentral
AUAUUAGAGAUUAGGGUUAGUUUUUCGGAGCCACUUGAGCUUUGAAUGCUAGGAUUAGUAAGUUUAGGUUUUUGGCUAUGGUUUUGGUACAAAUCUUGUAUGGUUUGGAGUUUAUUUGAAGGAGAUAUAGGCGCUCAAAGUUAAGGUGUUGAUUUGGAAGCUAUUAUCACUCUUUUUAAUAUAAUACAUGCGUACAAAAGGCAAUUGAGGAUCGGCAUCUGCAAUUGAAGAGAGUACUUUUGCGGUUAUACUUUUUGCAUACUACUUGCUAGAUUCCAAGUUGAAGUAAAGGAGUUAUUGGAUUUUGAAGUCAGCACAUGCAAUCUAAAGGUAGUAAGUGACCCAAUUAACUAGUGGUUGUGUCUUGAGCUAUAUCUUGAGCAAUUUGAUAAGGUUUUAGUUCAAUAUUUCAAGAAAUGUAUAAAUUCAUAUUAAUAAACUUUGUACAUAAGUUUGAUGACAUUUGAAUAUUGCAUUCUUGAGAUAUUAAGAAAAUAGUGCUUAGAUGCUUGUAAAUUAGGAUUUAGAGCAUUUGCUAGGAUUUCUCAGAUGCUUGAAGAUUGGGAGUGAAUUU